UCUGGCAGCUCUCACUUUCACAAUGCCC
RNAcentral lists this non-coding RNA (28 nucleotides) under Homo sapiens (human). Lineage: Eukaryota; Metazoa; Chordata; Mammalia; Primates; Hominidae. The record is from RNAcentral.